This 64-nucleotide transfer RNA is filed under the name Cyclorhipidion bodoanum. Its description in RNAcentral is "tRNA-Ile". The record is from RNAcentral. Lineage: Eukaryota; Metazoa; Arthropoda; Insecta; Coleoptera; Curculionidae.
AAUAGAGUGCCUGACUAAAGGAUUAUCUUGAUAGGAUAAACAAUGUAAGCUAUUACCUCUAUUA